Molecule: ribosomal RNA, 408 nt
Filed under: uncultured bacterium
Lineage: Bacteria
Description: bacterial SSU rRNA
Rfam family: Bacterial small subunit ribosomal RNA
Source: RNAcentral
UGCCAGCCGCCGCGGUAAUACGGAGGGUGCAAGCGUUAUCCGGAUUUAUUGGGUUUAAAGGGUGCGUAGGCGGUAAAAUAAGUCAGUGGUGAAAAGCUGCAGCUCAACUGUAGUCCUGCCAUUGAAACUGUUUUACUUGAGUAACCAUGAGGUAGGCGGAAUGUGUAGUGUAGCGGUGAAAUGCUUAGAUAUUACACAGAACACCGAUUGCGUAGGCAGCUUACUAGAGGUUCACUGACGCUGAUGCACGAAAGCGUGGGGAUCAAACAGGAUUAGAUACCCUGGUAGUCCACGCCGUAAACGAUGAUAACUCGCUGUUGGCGAUACACAGUCAGCGGCUUAGCGAAAGCGUUAAGUUAUCCACCUGGGGAGUACGCUCGCAAGAGUGAAACUCAAAGAAAUUGACGG